CCUACGGGGAGCAGCAGUGGGGAAUAUUGGACAAUGGGCGAAAGCCUGAUCCAGCCAUGCCGCGUGUGUGAAGAAGGCCUUCGGGUUGUAAAGCACUUUCAGUGGGGAAGAAAGCCUUGGGGCUAAUACCCUCGAGGAAGGACAUCACCCACAGAAGAAGCACCGGCUAACUCCGUGCCAGCAGCCGCGGUAAUACGGAGGGUGCGAGCGUUAAUCGGAAUUACUGGGCGUAAAGCGCGCGUAGGCGGUCUGAUAAGCCGGUUGUGAAAGCCCCGGGCUCAACCUGGGAACGGCAUUCGGAACUGUCAGGCUAGAGUGCAGGAGAGGAAGGUAGAAUUCCCGGUGUAGCGGUGAAAUGCGUAGAGAUCGGGAGGAAUACCAGUGGCGAAGGCGGCCUUCUGGACUGACACUGACGCUGAGGUGCGAAAGCGUGGGUAGCAAACAGGAUUAGAUACCGUGUAGUC
Molecule: ribosomal RNA, 464 nt
Filed under: Vreelandella stevensii
Lineage: Bacteria; Pseudomonadati; Pseudomonadota; Gammaproteobacteria; Oceanospirillales; Halomonadaceae
Description: partial 16S ribosomal RNA
Rfam family: Bacterial small subunit ribosomal RNA
Source: RNAcentral